GCCUGUAGUCCCAGCUACUGGGGAGGCUGAGGUGGGAGGAUCGCUUGAGCCCAGGAGUUCUGGGCUGUAGUGCACUAUGCCGAUCGGGUGUCCGCACUAAGUUUCACAUCAAUAUGGUGACCUCCCGGGAGUGGGGAACCACCAGGUUGCCUAAGGAGGGGUGAACUGGCCCAGGCUGGAAACAGAGCAGGUCAAAACUCCCAUGCUGAUCAGUAGUGGGAUCUUGCCUGUGAAUAGCCACUGCACUCCAGCCUGGGCAACAUAGCGAUACCCUGUCUCU
RNAcentral lists this signal recognition particle RNA (280 nucleotides) under Aotus nancymaae (Ma's night monkey). RNAcentral's name for it is "Metazoan signal recognition particle RNA (ENSANAG00000004994.1)". It matches the Rfam family "Metazoan signal recognition particle RNA". From Rfam's summary of the family: The signal recognition particle (SRP) is a universally conserved ribonucleoprotein. It is involved in the co-translational targeting of proteins to membranes. Lineage: Eukaryota; Metazoa; Chordata; Mammalia; Primates; Aotidae. The record is from RNAcentral.